Molecule: long non-coding RNA, 4611 nt
Organism: Magnolia sinica
Lineage: Eukaryota; Viridiplantae; Streptophyta; Magnoliopsida; Magnoliales; Magnoliaceae
Exons: 2
Source: RefSeq, a predicted model, not a curated record
GGAAAUAAACAUCUUGCGUUAAUUUUCUAAUGUCAACAACAUGAUCUUGCAAAUAGGUUUGAGCCCGUGGCUCUUUGGAAGGCCCUCAUGCUUCAAUACUGAGGGCUCGAGCUCGAGUCCGAGCCCGGAUUACCUAUCAUAAAGGGGGAAAAAGUGACAUAAUCAUGCAAUUUUAUUUUUCUGCACAUAUUUUCUUGUUUUGCAUCUUCUAAUUAUGAUAUCAUGCGUUCAAGUUGGCAUUUCACAUGCUCAAUGGCUUUGGUAUAAAAACUGCAAUCCCUCUAGGAUGAGUUAUCAUGUUAUUAUUCGAGUGCCAACUUUUGACACCUGUAGACUCGGCAUGCUUAGAAAAUCCAUCUUGAAAUGAAUUUUAUUCAUGAUAAUAACAAUACUAUAUAAAUUGCCAUUGAUGUUCUCAUUACUGUUCUUAGUUGAAGACCUUCAGUUCAGUGUUUGCAUAUGCUCGCAGACAUGUAGGAUCCUCUCUCUCUCUCUCUCUCUGUCUUGACUUAAAGUUGGGCCAUUUCUCAGGUUGUUUUUUCUGUUUAUGACAUUAUCUAGAUCUGAUCGAUCUUCAUUUGAAAAUGGAAACAAUGUUGUAUUAAAUUCUGUAUGCAAAUACUUUAUACCAGAAAUCAUGUUGACAAUUUGCCAACCAGAAAUAUUGAAAUUUUGAAUUAUCCAAAAAUUGUCAUGUAGAGUUUUGAAGGGAACUCCUUCUGCCAUUAGUUUCUUGCUAAAGUAUUAUCCCAUUGCAUCCUGCUGGUGUUCUUGAUUCUUAGAGUGUCAGGCUAAAUCCUAUUUCAAUUGGCUUUGUACCCUAAGUGUCUAUCUAGUUUGAUUGUAGCUUACAUCUGCCAAGGGUCAAAUACAUAAAACCCAGACAUAUAUAAUUGAAUUGGUUAGGGGUGAGCAGAUUUGCGACUCUAUUGACCUAUUUUGCAGAAAGUUGUUGUCUGGUGAGCGGUGGAAGUGACCGAGGUUGGAUAACCUUGAAUUCCAACAGAUUUCUAGUGAGGAUGUUGCUGUGCUUGAGAAGCCUAUCUCGGAAGUGAAAGCUGCUUUAUGCUCUAUGUGUGGGGAUAAGGCCCUGGGUCCCAAUGGUUUCCCUAUUCUCUUCUAUCAGAAGUUUUGGCAUAUAGUUAAAAAGGAUGUUAUGGAUUUUGUAUUGGAAAUUUCUGAGUGGGGCUGGCUUUCAGGUGAGCUUGGGGCUUCUUUUAUUGCCCUUAUUCCCAAGGUGGAGGGGGCCAAUCAGUUAAAAGAUUUCAGACAUAUUGGUCUCAUAGGAGGCCCUAAUAAGAUUUUGGCCUAGUUUUUUUCCUUGAGAUUUAGGGAUGUCCUCUCUAAAGUCAUUUCAAAAAAUGAAGGUGCUUUUGUGGCGGGUAGACAGAUUUUGGAUGUUGCUCUUAUUGCCCACGAAUGCAUUGACUCCAAGCACAUGAAGUAGAAAGGUGUGUUAGUCUGCAGGUUGGAUAUUGAGAAGGCUUAUGAUCAUGUGGACUCGGGGUUCUUAGACUAUACGUUUCAUAGAUUGGGUUGUGGCCGCAAGUGCAGGGAGCGGAUCGGAUCUUGCAUGCAAUUUGCAUCCUUCUCUAUCUUAAUUAAUGGGUUGCCAAAAGGGUAUUUCGAAUCGUCAAGAGGUCUGAGGCAGGGGGACCCUUUUUCUCCUUAUUUGUUUGUUGUCAUUGGGGAGGCCCUGAGUAUGAUGCUGCAUAAAGGGGAAGAGAAUGGUUUGCUCAGAGUUUUAGGGUUCAAGGCUUUUAAUGUUGGGGGUCAAAUCAACCAUCUUCAGUAUGCGGAUGAUACAUUGCUCUUUUGUGAUGUGGAGAUGGUUUCAGUGGACAACCUUCGGAAAAUAAUUGCGUGUUUUGAAGUGGUUUCGGGGUUGAAGGUUAAUGUGGCUAAUUCUGAAAUGUUGGGGGUGCACGUGGGGUGAGAAUAUCUUAGCCGUUUUGUGUGUAUCUUCAGGUGCAAGUCGGGAUCCUUUCCUUUGACGUACCUUGGGUUGCCUCUAUGUAUUGGGAAGCUGGCCAACCACCUUUGGGAUAAGGUGAUUGAGAGGAUCGAAAGGAAAUUGGCUACUUGGAAAGGUUGGUUUCUCUACUUGGGAGGUCAUUUGACUCUUAUCAAGGUGGCCUUAUCCAAUAUGCCCGUGUAUUUUAUAUUUUUCUCUCUUUUCAAUUGCCCUAAAUCGGUGUUGGAUAGACUAAAAAAGCUGAUGUGAACAUGGCUCGAUGCGUGUGGGGCUUACUUCCUCUAUUUUCUCUGGCUUUUGAUACAGUUGGGAUGUGGUGUUGGCUCAGAUUUGAAGAUGCAUUUGAUUUGUAGUUACCACUAACACAUGAAGCUUAAAAUCUACAACCAACUAGAAAUUGUAUAAUUGCUUAAAGGUUGGGGGAUAAUAAGAUUUCCCAAUUCAAGUGACUCAUGUAGUUAAUCUGCGAUUGUAGAUUUGGAGUAAGGGUCUUGGUGACAAAAAAUGAAGGGGUUAAGCACCAUUUUCAGCUUGCACCGCAUGCGCUCUUUACUUUAUGGGAUUUAAUGAUUUUUGAGGGAUUUAAUGGAAUUUCAGAAUUACCAUGUCUAAUCAUGCUUCACAAAGUUUAUGACUUUGGGUAGGACAAAAAGAAAAUAAAUGGCACCUAACCUCACUUUGCAGGUUUAAGACCCCUAGUAGGCAAAAAGGAAAUAAGCAGUACUUACCGUUCCCUCACAGGGUUGAAGACCUUGGGUAGGUAGAUAAAGUAAAAGAGAGAAUGUAGAUAGGAAAGAGGAUUGCAGAAAUAAAAUAAAAGUGAGUGUGUGUUGCUAAUGUGCUUGAAAUGUGUAGGAUGGAAUGUAGAUUGAAUUGAGACGUGAGAGGGAAAAUGGGAGACCAAACAUCCUUUUUAACAAAGGGAUGGUCGCAUGUCUCCGAUUCCAACCCUACUCUCAACUUCAGUGGCUUCUUUUGCUAAGACUAUUCUUUUCUUUCUUCUUUUGAGUCAAGAAGGGUGGCGGCGCAGUCAGGCUUUUUUCGGAUUUUCCAGAGACUUGGGCAAGUUGACACUUGGGAGUUAGCAACACCUGAAAUAGCCUUGCCACUCCUCUUUGUUGACCAACUGACGCAUGUUGCCUCUCUUUUCACUCUCAACGUCUCCCACUAAUCCCCUUGUUGCCUUCGGAAGGAUCGCUAUUGUAGUGCUUAAAUAGGUACUCAGCCGACUAUUCGAGGAUCAGUUGUAGGCUAUAGGGUACCCUUUCUGCCUGCGUUGGCUUUUCGGGUUAGGUAAUGAUGUCUCGAGCCAAAAGAGGUUCCUUCGUACAACCAGAUCUUCAGGGGCCUAUUGUUCAUUUUGUCCUUUUCUACAUAGCAGCUGCUGUGUACAGUGAAUUCUAGGGUUUUCGGGAGUCAGGAUGAGUGGCCACGAUUUAUUCUUCACCAGAUUUAUGUUGGUCGAUCGAAUCUGGUGGUUUUCUCCGAGAGGUAUUGGGGACCCUUUCGACUUGAUUCGUUUGGACUUCCUUGUCUCUGGAGUCUAGCAAAUGCGAUUUGAUCAAAGCUGUGCACAACUGAAGUUUCCGGAUAACCUGGUCAAUCGUUUGAUAUCUAAUCUCAUCGAGUUGCGGGUCCGCCAAUUCGAUCCAUUAGUCAUUUCUGGGUUGUGCCGAGGACCUUUUCUACUUGAUCCAUAUGGACUUUAAGGCCUCUUGGAUUGGCUGGAGACGGUGUUAUCAGAGUGGUGUAUGGUUUGGGUCUUUGAUGGGUCUAGGCCGUUUAGUCAAGGUGCGAUUGGUCGAGCCCCUGACUUGUCAAAAAUACAUCUUACCUAACUCGUAUGGUUGUUCAACGGAUAUCGAAUCUUCCAGGGAUGUUUUUAUCGAAGCCAAGUUGAAGUUGAGGAGUAGUUUGCUCUCGUUUUGGGUGGGGUGUCUAUAACUAAGAAGAGAUUUUUUUUGGAAAGGCACUAUUGAUGGUAAGAAGUUUCAUCUCCUUAGGCGGGAUGAGGUGUGUAAGCUACUCUCAAACUUUUGGGUGAUAUGAUUCAACUCUCCUUGGGAAGUAGAUUUGGUGUGAAAGAGAGUAGGCUUUAGAGGGAGUUGAUGGCUAGCAACUAUGUUGUGUAGGAGGGGGCUUGGGUUUGUGACGAACUCAUUAUAGAGCCUUUGGGGCUUGGAAAACACAGUUGAUCAUUUGGUCCGAAAGGGUAUUUCUUUCUCAAUUGGAAACAUGAAUCAUAUUCAAUUUUUGGUGGAUAUUUGGUACGGCGAUCGGGUGCUUCAAGGUCUCUUCCCGAGAGUCGCUCGCCUUCUCCCGACCAUUUUGUUUAUGUGGCAAAUUGCUUUUUAAUCAAUAGGGGGUCGGUAGUCUGGCAGAUUGUUUAUGUGAUAGAGUCGGUGAUGCUAAAGGAACAUGUUGGAUGGGGAGAUGGCUGAGUUCGUCAGGUAAUUGGAUUUCAUUAAGAACACCAAGCUUGCGGUUCAAGAAUCAGACUUGAUUUUAUGGUUGAGGCAAUGUUCAGGGAGAGUCUUUGUAAGGUCACUAUUUAACUUGAUAUUAGAGCUACCUAGUCUUUUUAGUUUGCCUCAUUUGUUUCAUCAUUGGUUUUAUGAUCCUUUAAAAAAAAUAAA